Molecule: ribosomal RNA, 253 nt
Filed under: uncultured bacterium
Lineage: Bacteria
Description: partial 16S ribosomal RNA
Rfam family: Bacterial small subunit ribosomal RNA
Source: RNAcentral
UACGGAGGGUGCAAGCGUUACUCGGAAUUACUGGGCGUAAAGGGCGCGUAGGCGGUUUGGUAAGUCAGAUGUGAAAGCCCGGAGCUUAACUCCGGAAGUGCAUUUGAAACUGCUGAACUUGAGUAUGGGAGAGGGAAGUGGAAUUCCUGGUGUAGAGGUGAAAUUCGUAGAUAUCAGGAGGAACACCGGUGGCGAAGGCGACUUCCUGGACCAAUACUGACGCUGAGGCGCGAAGGCGUGGGUAGCAAACAGG